RNAcentral lists this transfer RNA (73 nucleotides) under Vicugna pacos (alpaca). RNAcentral's name for it is "tRNA-Ala (AGC) (tRNA-Ala-AGC-562-1)". It matches the Rfam family "tRNA". From Rfam's summary of the family: Transfer RNA (tRNA) molecules are approximately 80 nucleotides in length. Their secondary structure includes four short double-helical elements and three loops (D, anti-codon, and T loops). Further hydrogen bonds mediate the characteristic L-shaped molecular structure. tRNAs have two regions of fundamental functional importance: the anti-codon, which is responsible for specific mRNA codon recognition, and the 3' end, to which the tRNAs corresponding amino acid is attached (by aminoacyl-tRNA synthetases). tRNAs cope with the degeneracy of the genetic code in two manners: having more than one tRNA (with a specific anti-codon) for a particular amino acid; and 'wobble' base-pairing, i.e. permitting non-standard base-pairing at the 3rd anti-codon position. The record is from RNAcentral. Lineage: Eukaryota; Metazoa; Chordata; Mammalia; Artiodactyla; Camelidae.
GGAGGGUAUAACUCAGUGGUAGAGCACAUGCUUAGCAUGCAUGAGGUCCUGGGUUCAAUCCCCAGUACCUCCA